CAGGGAUUGCCUUAGUAACGGCGAGUGAAGCGGCAACAGCUCAAAUUUGAAAUCUGGCCCUCGGGUCCGAAUUGUAAUUUGUAGAGGAUGAUUUUGGUGCGGUAUCUUCCGAGUUCCUUGGAACAGGACGCCUUAGAGGGUGAGAGCCCCGUACGGUUGAAUGCCUAGCCUCUGUAAAUCUCCUUCGACGAGUCGAGUAGUUUGGGAAUGCUGCUCUAAAUGGGAGGUAAAUUUCUUCUAAAGCUAAAUAUUGGCCAGAGACCGAUAGCGCACAAGUAGAGUGAUCGAAAGAUGAAAAGCACUUUGAAAAGAGGGUUAAAUAGCACGUGAAAUUGUUGAAAGGGAAGGAUUUGUGACCAGACUUUUUCUGGGCGGAUCAUCCGGGGUUCUCUCCGGUGCACUUUGCCCAGUAAAGGCCAGCAUCGAUUUUCGGCGGCGGAUAAAAGCAGUGGGAAUGUGGCUCCUUACGGGGAGUGUUAUAGCCCAUUGUAUAAUACGCUGCUGGGGAUCGAGGUACGCGCUUCUGCAAGGAUGCUGGCGUAAUGGUUAUCAAUCACCCGUCUUGAAACACGGACCAAGGAGUCGAACAUUUAUGCGAGUGUUUGGGUGUUAAACCCUCACGCGUAAUGAAAGUGAACGGAGGUGAGAGCCUGUAUGGGUGCAUCAUCGACCGAUCCUGAAGUUUUCGGAUGGAUUUGAGUAAGAGCAUAACUGUUCGGACCCGAAAGAUGGUGAACUAUGCGUGGAUAGGGUGAAGCCAGAGGAAACUCUGGUGGAGGCUCGCAGCGGUUCUGACGUGCAAAUCGAUCGUCAAAUCUGCGCAUGGGGGCGAAAGACUAAUCGAACCAUCUAGUAGCUGGU
Molecule: ribosomal RNA, 861 nt
Filed under: Pestalotiopsis sp.
Lineage: Eukaryota; Fungi; Ascomycota; Sordariomycetes; Amphisphaeriales; Sporocadaceae
Description: LSU rRNA
Rfam family: Eukaryotic large subunit ribosomal RNA
Source: RNAcentral